UACGUAGGGUGCAAGCGUUGUCCGGAAUUAUUGGGCGUAAAGAGCUCGUAGGCGGUUUGUCGCGUCUGCUGUGAAAACUCGGGGCUUAACUCCGGGCCUGCAGUGGGUACGGGCAGACUAGAGUGCGGUAGGGGAGACUGGAAUUCCUGGUGUAGCGGUGAAAUGCGCAGAUAUCAGGAGGAACACCGGUGGCGAAGGCAAUCCCCUGGGCCUGCACUGACGCUCAUGCACGAAAGCGUGGGGAGCAAACAGG
This 253-nucleotide ribosomal RNA is filed under the name uncultured bacterium. RNAcentral's name for it is "partial 16S ribosomal RNA". It matches the Rfam family "Bacterial small subunit ribosomal RNA", at positions 524 to 776 of the family's 1533-position model. The record is from RNAcentral.